GAUGAAGAACGUAGCAAAAUGCGAUAAGUAAUGUGAAUUGCAGAAUUCAGUGAAUCUUCGAAUCUUUGAACGCACAUUGCGCCCGCCAGUAUUCUGGCGGGCAUGCCUGUUCGAGCGUCAUUUCAACCCUCAAGCACAGCUUGGUGUUGGGACUCGCGUUAAUUCGCGUUCCCCAAAUUGAUUGGCGGUCACGUCGAGCUUCCAUAGCGUAGUAGUAAAACCCUCGUUACUGGUAAUCGUCGCGGCCACGCCGUUAAACCCCAACUUCUGAAUGUUGACCUCGGAUCAGGUAGGAAUACCCGCUGAACUUAAGCAUAUCAAUAAGCGGAGGA
This 332-nucleotide unclassified non-coding RNA is filed under the name soil metagenome. RNAcentral's name for it is "partial contains 5.8S ribosomal RNA, internal transcribed spacer 2, and large subunit ribosomal RNA". The stretch from base 1 to 120 matches the Rfam family "5.8S ribosomal RNA", at positions 35 to 154 of the family's 154-position model. The record is from RNAcentral.